GACGAACGCUGGCGGCGUGCCUAAUACAUGCAAGUCGAGCGGAACUGGGGGAGCUUGCUCCUUCCAGUUUAGCGGCGGACGGGUGAGUAACACGUGGGCAACCUGCCCUGCAGGUCGAGAUAACUCCGGGAAACCGGUGCUAAUACCGAAUAGUUUGGCGCCUCUCCUGAGGCGCUACGGAAAGACGGUUUCGGCUGUCACUGCAGGAUGGGCCCGCGGCGCAUUAGCUAGUUGGUGGGGUAACGGCCCACCAAGGCGACGAUGCGUAGCCGACCUGGGAGGGUGACCGGCCACACUGGGACUGAGACACGGCCCAGACUCCUACGGGAGGCAGCAGUAGGGAAUCUUCCGCAAUGGACGCAAGUCUGACGGAGCAACGCCGCGUGAGUGACGAAGGUUUUCGGAUCGUAAAACUCUGUUGUGAGGGAAGAACACGUACCAACUAACUAUUGGUACCUUGACGGUACCUCGCCAGAAAGCCACGGCUAACUACGUGCCAGCCGCCGCGGUAA
RNAcentral lists this ribosomal RNA (512 nucleotides) under uncultured bacterium. RNAcentral describes it as "partial 16S ribosomal RNA". It matches the Rfam family "Bacterial small subunit ribosomal RNA", at positions 28 to 523 of the family's 1533-position model. The record is from RNAcentral.